Molecule: transfer RNA, 74 nt
Filed under: Saccoglossus kowalevskii
Lineage: Eukaryota; Metazoa; Hemichordata; Enteropneusta; Harrimaniidae
Description: tRNA-Ile
Rfam family: tRNA
About the family: Transfer RNA (tRNA) molecules are approximately 80 nucleotides in length.
Source: RNAcentral
GGUGCCAUGGCUUAGUUGGUUAAAGCGCCUGUCUAAUAAACAGGAGAUCCUGAGAUCGACUCUCAGUGGUGCCU